UACGAAGGGGGCAAGCGUUGUUCGGAAUUACUGGGCGUAAAGGGCGCGUAGGCGGCUUAUCAAGUCAGGCGUGAAAUUCCCGGGCUCAACCUGGGGGCUGCGCUUGAUACUGAUGAGCUUGAAUGCGGGAGAGGAUAGUGGAAUUCCCAGUGUAGAGGUGAAAUUCGUAGAUAUUGGGAAGAACACCUAUGGCGAAGGCAGCUCUCUGGGACGGUACUGACGCUGAGACGCGAAAGCGUGGGGAGCGAACAGG
This 253-nucleotide ribosomal RNA is filed under the name uncultured bacterium. Its description in RNAcentral is "partial 16S ribosomal RNA". It matches the Rfam family "Bacterial small subunit ribosomal RNA", at positions 524 to 776 of the family's 1533-position model. The record is from RNAcentral.